AUUGAACGCUGGCGGCAGGCCUAACACAUGCAAGUCGAGCGAGUGGCGGACGGGUGAGUAAUGUCUGGGAAACUGCCUGAUGGAGGGGGAUAACUACUGGAAACGGUAGCUAAUACCGCAUACAAUCAGAUGUGCCCAGAUGGGAUUAGCUAGUAGGUGGGGUAAGGGCUCACCUAGGCGACGAUCCCUAGCUGGUCUGAGAGGAUGAACAGCCACACUGGAACUGAGACAAGGUCCAGCAGCAUACGGGAGGCAGCAGUGGGGAAUAUUGCACAAUGGGCGCAAGCCUUAUGCAGCCACGCCGAGUGGGUGAAGAAGGCCUUCGGGUUGUAAAGCACUUUCAGCGAGGAGGCGUUACUCGCAGAAGAAGCACCGGCUAACUCCGUGCCAGCAGCCGCGGUAAUUC
RNAcentral lists this ribosomal RNA (406 nucleotides) under uncultured bacterium. Its description in RNAcentral is "partial 16S ribosomal RNA". It matches the Rfam family "Bacterial small subunit ribosomal RNA", at positions 30 to 526 of the family's 1533-position model. The record is from RNAcentral.